This 303-nucleotide ribosomal RNA is filed under the name uncultured bacterium. RNAcentral's name for it is "partial 16S ribosomal RNA". It matches the Rfam family "Bacterial small subunit ribosomal RNA", at positions 507 to 808 of the family's 1533-position model. The record is from RNAcentral.
AGCAGUAGCCGCGGUAAUACGUAGGUGGCAAGCGUUGUCCGGAAUUAUUGGGCGUAAAGCGCGCGCAGGCGGAUAGGUCAGUCUGUCUUAAAAGUUCGGGGCUUAACCCCGUGAUGGGAUGGAAACUGCCAAUCUAGAGUAUCGGAGAGGAAAGUGGAAUUCCUAGUGUAGCGGUGAAAUGCGUAGAUAUUAGGAAGAACACCAGUGGCGAAGGCGACUUUCUGGACGAAAACUGACGCUGAGGCGCGAAAGCCAGGGGAGCGAACGGGAUUAGAGACCCCAGUAGUCCCUGUCUCUUAUACC